ACGUGAAGUAGUAGACCGGGACUUACUUCAUGGCGCACUUCUGAGACCUGGCAGGCUUGAACACUUCUAUUAUGUGAUUUUUCUUCAAUACAGGAGAGGCUGGAUAUCCUUAAAGUUUUAUCACGGAAGCUUCCUUUGGCCAGCGACGUGGACUUGGACGCUACAGAUCAAGAUCUAAUCUAUCUAAUCAUAAUCAACGGUUCUUCAAGCUCUGCUUCCCGAUGCACAGCUGCAAGCGGAGAGAGUUAUCAAGCGCGGCAAAAAUAGUAAUAAUGGACUCUCUUUUGAAGUUUGCUGCUUCAAAGGCGAGCCCGUCAAUCUCAAAUGCCGAGAAGAGAGACUCCAUACAAAUUCCUUUCAUUCUUUGAAUUCUAUCAUCUCUCCCUAAAACUACAAAUUGUGCAUCUCCAAUCAAAAAAUUCAACCGGGGAUUCUGAUAGUUGCUUAAAACGCAUCUUUCUACGUCAGUAGAUCAUUGAUUAGCAUAUUUCCUCUGAAUAGUCGGGCCUCAUAGUUUAUAUGACUAUUAAUUUUUGUGAAUCCAAUAAUGUCAGACACGGAUUUUGAACA
This is a long non-coding RNA of Eucalyptus grandis, 570 nucleotides long. RefSeq lists it as uncharacterized. The record is from RefSeq and is a predicted model, not a curated record. The transcript has 2 exons. NCBI's taxonomy places the organism in Eukaryota, Viridiplantae, Streptophyta, Magnoliopsida, Myrtales, Myrtaceae.